AGUUUCUCCUGAUGGGCCGGUGACUGAAGUCAGGUCUGGAUAAGUCGCUUUUGUUAGCCAGGGAGACCGUUUAGGAGGAUAUUCAAACACAUAGACAUUUUACAAGGCUACUCUGAAGGGCAACCAAGUACAUAUACAAAAUACAAAUUGUACAGCUCUGAUUAAAGAUAGGCUACAAUGUAAUGACAACCCAUUCAGUAAUGAAUACUGCAGGGAAUGACAGUUACUUUUCUCAGUGCUGUGACCAAUGGGCAGUAAAAUAGGUCUAAUUGGAGGAAAAGAGAAUUGUAAGAAAAUUUUUUUUACAAUCACAUCAGACGAUGGGCUUAUCAAAGAAAAAUUGCCAAAGACACGGAAACAACAUUGAUUUGAAGCUGCCAGGGGAAGAUCUUCACUUCACUGAGAGAGGCACAGCAGAGAAUUUCUCUUGGUGUCCUUGCUAUUUCUGGUCACUCCUGCUGACUUGUGCCAAUUUGGCUGAUGCCUGGCAGUUUCUGCUGGAUUUUGAUUCUGCCGGCGAUUCAAGUUUACUGGACUGCUGAUAUCCUGACAAAUGGGGAUUGGAAUCACCCCAGUGAAUUACUUUUAAACAGGUCCACACCCCCUUGUCUUAUUUACCAUCUUCUCUCCCCUGCCUUUGGAUGGUGGGCUAGAAGGGGUGUGGAAGUGUUUGAGAACUCUUAUUCAAAACCUAAAAAUGUACGUUUUGAAAAACCUAAGCCUAAAGGAAAGUCCACCUAAUUUGAUGCUCACUUACAUGAAAAGGGGAAGAUAGAGUGAAGCGCAAUCAUCUAAUUAGAGUUGGGCUCCCCAAACUAUGAUAUUGAUUUUUGAAAAUAAAAGAGGUACAUUUUUAAAUAAACAGACUAAGAGAUGGUACAGUAGGAUUAAAAAAAAAGUUUGUCAGGCAACUGUGAGGAACUGAGUUCAAAUCCCAGAAGCUGCUUAAAAUCCUAGUGUUAGUAUUUGGAAUUCCAGAAGAGAACACCCACAGACAGGUAAAGUCCUGAGGGCAUGGAGCUUGAUGGUGGUGGAAGAGGAGUGAGUGUAGAGAGGAGGGGUGAAACUUUAGGAAUCAUCUAAAUUUGGAAAACAGAAUUUGGUUGUGUAAAGUAUAGUCAUAUUAGUACAAAUACACUGAUUGGGGGUUGGGUUAAAGAAUAAGAUAAAGUAAUGCAUUAAACUGUAGGAAUUCUUGAAUAUAUUGCAUGCUUUUAUUCCUGUUAAUAGACAAAUAAAUAACUAAAUAAAUAAAUAAUAAAAAAUGGUAACAGCAUGCAUUGUGUGAUCAGUUGACUAUACUCAAUUACAGGCAAUUAUCUGCUAUGAUAAUCUUCAGGGUCAUUUAUAAAUGGGUACAGCCUAAGAAUAAAUCUAUAACAGCCACAAUCUCCUAAAAUCUUGCGACCUAGGAACAACAUUGAAAUUUUCAUGUCUUGUUCUGUUUGAAAGUAAGUAAUUGGAACUUGAGAGUGAAUCCACCAUGAAAGCAAUUGGAACCUGAUGGAUUAAGGACAAUUUUUAAAAGCUCAAGUUUAUUCUGUUGUCUGUAGGCGUUCAAUUUAAAUGAUUAAAAAUAGACCCUUCUAAUG
RNAcentral lists this long non-coding RNA (1592 nucleotides) under Mus pahari (shrew mouse). Its description in RNAcentral is "lncRNA (MGP_PahariEiJ_G0006301.1)". Lineage: Eukaryota; Metazoa; Chordata; Mammalia; Rodentia; Muridae. The record is from RNAcentral.